Molecule: non-coding RNA, 1401 nt
Organism: Salmo salar (Atlantic salmon)
Lineage: Eukaryota; Metazoa; Chordata; Actinopteri; Salmoniformes; Salmonidae
Source: RefSeq, a predicted model, not a curated record
UGUACCAGGCUGGAGAGAGUGAUCUGAUUCUUCUGAAGCGCAUGUCAGAGAGGAGGAGGAGGGAGGGAAUGAACCAGGAAGAGAGAGCGAGAGAGAGAAGGCAGCCUCCGGUUGACAGUACAUGGAGGUCUGCAGGAGCUCCAGAACCAGGAAACAUCCCUUGCUGCUGCGCCUGGUGUGUGUUCCGCCUGCUGCUUUCACAAGGGGCUGCAGGGCUUUCAUCACCACUGAAUGGUAUGCUGUCCUGAUGUCUCUCUCAAAGCCAGGAGGACUGACGUGGCGUCAGAGACUUCCAGGUUCUCUGUGGAUCAGCCCCUGAGAGCUGUAGGAUCCACGCAGGAGGAUGCAGGGCCUCAGGAGGAACAGCUCCAGCCAGCUCUGACUUCUGGUGGGGCAGGACAGCUGGUGUUGUGAAUCAGGCCGCUAUAGUGCCAGACACGGCUUCUUCCCAACACCAGGGUCACACCCCACUGUCUGCAGCACCGAAGCCCCGGAGCCCAGCCCUCUCCCUCACCGGCAGCAAGGCACAGCAGCAGAUCACAGGAGGACAGAUCAAAAUGCAUGCCGAGACUAGUGGAGGAUGUGUCUUUCAAAAACAGACUAGUCGAAGUUAAUUAAAAAUAAACUAAAUAUUCCACUGUGUGUCUGGGGCAUAAGAGGAGCAUUUGAGCAUCGUCCGAAGCAUAACCACCAUUGUUUAAUUCUCAAUUGUGAUUAAAGUAGAGUUGUAUUGUAUUGACUUGCCCUAUGACAGUUUCUGUGUGUCUGCACACUAGGACUAGGAUUCAACAUCAGUGAACUAUCAGAGCAUAAGACAGUACAACUAGAGAGAGGACAGUGCCUCUCUGAACAAGUGUGAUGGGAACAGUGGUGGUUCUAGACCAUUUCAACUGGGGGGGCCAAGCUGGGGCCAGUUGUACUGCUAGAGGGGCCAGUUACAUUAGACGUUAUUGUUGUCAUAUCGUUUUCUUCAAGGGGGUCCAAAAUUGUUGUCACAGUGGCACUGCCCCCCCCCCCAGAACCGCUAGUGGAUGGGAAUAGCAUGAAAUGAAUAAUCAAUCAUAAUGAAAUGUGUUCCGGUUUAUGUAAAAGCAUGACAAAUGAAAGGCUGGGUGUAUUCCUUUGUCUGGGAUUAAAUUGAAAAUGGAUUUUGAUGUUAGUCUCAGUCUUAGUAUCAGUACGCUUUGUUGGCAUCCCUCUGUGCUGCUUUUAUUUCACUUUAUAUUAUAUACUUUUAUUAAAACUCAUCAAAGGACUUUUUAUUUGUUAUUCGUUACGGAACAAAUUUUAUGUUUUCAUUGUGUGGUGGUAGUUUGUGAGUGAAAGUGUUUAAGUACAAUUGUGAAUUCGUUUUUGCAUCAUUAUUCCAAUAUUAAAGCAGGAUACAUGUGAACAACUACA